Pelobates cultripes (western spadefoot toad) is the source of this 1039-nucleotide non-coding RNA. NCBI's taxonomy places the organism in Eukaryota, Metazoa, Chordata, Amphibia, Anura, Pelobatidae. The record is from the annotation of a GenBank genome assembly.
GCUUUCAUAUCUGAAUUCAAAUUACUGCUUAAUGCAACAUUACAUCUGUAUGUAUUGUUUUUAGGGUUAUUCAAAAUGAAGUACGAUAAAUUCAGCAUGUGUUUUUUUUUUUUUUUGGCAACACAGUAUAUUAAGACAGCUUGGAAAGUUCAAUUUACUUCGCUUCGUAAAAUUGAAAUCUCUAUAAAAACGUCAGUCCCUGAAAUAUAUGGUCCAAUAUAAGAAGAAAACACAGGUUUAAUUAAUCAAACUAAAAUAAUGGUUAAUGGGGUCUAGAAAACACCUGGGCAAUUUUAAAUAAACACAAAUUUUAACUGUGGUGCAAUAUGCAUUUGCUUUUUCCUUCCCCCCAAAAAAUUAAAAUGAAGCACGUUAACGUCUGUUAACACAAUGGAUGUAUAAGAGGGCUUCUAAACACCUUACAUGUUACAUGACAAAAACAACUAGCAAUGCUGAGAUAAGACUUAAUUUGUGGUUUAACUGUCAAAGGAAGAGCACAUUGUAGAACAGGGUUAGGCAACCUUGAGCACUCCAGAUGUUAUGGACAACAUCUCCCCUGUUGCUUUGCCAGUAUGAUGGCUGUUAGAGCAUUAUAUGAGACGUAAUCCACAACAUCUGGAGUUCUGAAGGUUGCCUACCCCAGUUCUAGGAUAAAAUAGAAAAGCUUGCAAGAUAACAGAGUUAUACAUAUUUUUUACUUGGCUCUUUGGCCUAAAAUUUGCAUUUGCCCUCUCAAUUCUCUGUGAUUCCUUGUUUAGUGAAUUGCCCUGUCUGUUCCUUGGAGAAGAACAUUCAAAGAUGGGAGAAAGUAACUUUAGCAAUGAAUAUGUCUUGAUGAGACUCAAGAUAUUUACUCAAUAUAUGAGAAGCUGUGCGCAAGAUUUAUAAAGCAGAGCAACAAGACAUUAUUUCAGGAUCCCUGGACCAUCAUAUAUUAUUCUACUAACGUCUUGGCAUCCUAGGUGGGGAUGUACCAACGAAGUUUAAUGAAUUGGGCAAAACCUAACUUUUGAGCUAGUAGAUUUUUAUAAAUUUGCAC